Molecule: non-coding RNA, 91 nt
Organism: Mycena latifolia
Lineage: Eukaryota; Fungi; Basidiomycota; Agaricomycetes; Agaricales; Mycenaceae
Source: the annotation of a GenBank genome assembly
GGCACCGUGGUGUACGGAACACGCGCCGGACGUUUGGGUGGCAGAAGAUAGUUUGAGCCGGCGAGACGGGGUUCGACUCCCCGCGGUGCCC